CCGCCAUCUCUGGGCACAUCACGUGAUCGGCCCAAAUUAAUUACCAUCACCCGGAACCCUAAGGGUGGGUAGGGGCAGGAGCAAUACAUAGGGGGGGCAGUGGGCUUGUUGUUGCUACUAGUACGGUACCUUUGAUGAGGCGCAGGUCGCCGUCGAGAACGGCCUGCAGGAGCGGGUGGCGAGGCUCCGUCGCCGUCUCCCUGUUGUCCAUGGCGGCACGGGCCAGCGGCCGGAGAAGACGGCGGGUCAGCAGCACUCGAGAUUCUUGACUCCAGUCAAGCAGCCGCUGUGGAGAGU
This 297-nucleotide long non-coding RNA is filed under the name Hordeum vulgare. RNAcentral describes it as "long non-coding RNA (HVUL_LNC002937)". Lineage: Eukaryota; Viridiplantae; Streptophyta; Magnoliopsida; Poales; Poaceae. The record is from RNAcentral.